AAGAGUAUAGCAUAAAUUAAUGCAUUUCAUUUACAUUGAAAUUAUAUUUAAGUUGAUUAAGUUAUUCUUA
RNAcentral lists this transfer RNA (70 nucleotides) under Viviparus chui. Its description in RNAcentral is "tRNA-Val". Lineage: Eukaryota; Metazoa; Mollusca; Gastropoda; Architaenioglossa; Viviparidae. The record is from RNAcentral.